UUUGGCGCUCUUUGUCAAAGCCUGAUCUCGUCAGAUUUCAGAAAAUAAGCAAGGCUAGGCCUGUUUAGUAAUUGGAUGGGAGACCACUGAUAAUUCCAGGUGCCACAG
This 108-nucleotide ribosomal RNA is filed under the name Periophthalmus magnuspinnatus. Lineage: Eukaryota; Metazoa; Chordata; Actinopteri; Gobiiformes; Gobiidae. The record is from RNAcentral.